Molecule: ribosomal RNA, 461 nt
Filed under: Streptococcus mitis
Lineage: Bacteria; Bacillati; Bacillota; Bacilli; Lactobacillales; Streptococcaceae
Description: bacterial SSU rRNA
Rfam family: Bacterial small subunit ribosomal RNA
Source: RNAcentral
GACGAACGCUGGCGGCGUGCCUAAUACAUGCAAGUAGAACGCUGAAGGAGGAGCUUGCUUCUCUGGAUGAGUUGCGAACGGGUGAGUAACGCGUAGGUAACCUGCCUGGUAGCGGGGGAUAACUAUUGGAAACGAUAGCUAAUACCGCAUAAGAGUAGAUGUCGCAUGACAUUUGCUUAAAAGGUGCAAUUGCAUCACUACCAGAUGGACCUGCGUUGUAUUAGCUAGUUGGUGGGGUAACGGCUCACCAAGGCGACGAUACAUAGCCGACCUGAGAGGGUGAUCGGCCACACUGGGACUGAGACACGGCCCAGACUCCUACGGGAGGCAGCAGUAGGGAAUCUUCGGCAAUGGACGGAAGUCUGACCGAGCAACGCCGCGUGAGUGAAGAAGGUUUUCGGAUCGUAAAGCUCUGUUGUAAGAGAAGAAUGAGUGUGAUGAUGUGGAAAGUUCACACUGUG